RNAcentral lists this ribosomal RNA (451 nucleotides) under uncultured bacterium. RNAcentral's name for it is "partial 16S ribosomal RNA". It matches the Rfam family "Bacterial small subunit ribosomal RNA", at positions 354 to 796 of the family's 1533-position model. The record is from RNAcentral.
GUGGGGAAUAUUGGACAAUGGGGGGAACCCUGAUCCAGUCAUGCCGCGUGUGUGAAGAAGGCCUUUUGGUUGUAAAGCACUUUAAGCGAGGAGGAGGCUACCGAGAUUAAUACUCUUGGAUAGUGGACGUUACUCGCAGAAUAAGCACCGGCUAACUCUGUGCCAGCAGCCGCGGUAAUACAGAGGGUGCAAGCGUUAAUCGGAUUUACUGGGCGUAAAGCGCGCGUAGGUGGCCAAUUAAGUCAAAUGUGAAAUCCCCGAGCUUAACUUGGGAAUUGCAUUCGAUACUGGUUGGCUAGAGUAUGGGAGAGGAUGGUAGAAUUCCAGGUGUAGCGGUGAAAUGCGUAGAGAUCUGGAGGAAUACCGAUGGCGAAGGCAGCCAUCUGGCCUAAUACUGACACUGAGGUGCGAAAGCAUGGGGAGCAAACAGGAUUAGAAACCCGAGUAGUCC